Molecule: long non-coding RNA, 237 nt
Organism: Magnolia sinica
Lineage: Eukaryota; Viridiplantae; Streptophyta; Magnoliopsida; Magnoliales; Magnoliaceae
Exons: 2
Source: RefSeq, a predicted model, not a curated record
AGUAUUUGCGAUUGCUGGAAAGGCCUCUUGAUCUAACUUGCAAACAUGGUGUCAUCGACCAAGGGACUUCAACUGUAAGCCAUUGACCGGAUGGCCACCCUUUCAGAUUGCCUUGCAUUUUGGGUAUGGGCAGUCCACCUGGUGACCACAAAGCAAUUGUCCCGAUCAUUGUACACAUGUACCACACGUACAAGAAAGGCUUUUCACUUUGCACCCGAUGAAACUCAAUGGUGUCUA